UAAUGUUUUUUAUUAUACUAACGGCUUUGUUUAAAACGUAGAAAAUAAGCAUUUUUUCUUUUAAAAGCCUAGGAAUAGGUUACUUUAGGAGGGGCUUGCGCCAUAUUAGUUAGUUGUUAGGGUAAUGGCCUACCAAGACGAUGAUGUGUAGCUGGACUGAGAGGUUGAACAGCCACAUUGGGACUGAGACACGGCCCAAAUUCCUACGGGAGGCAGCAGUAGGGAAUUUUCGGCAAUGGAGGAAACUCUGACCGAGCAACGCCGCGUGAACGACGAAGUACUUUGGUAUGUAAAGUUCUUUUAUCAAGGAAGAAAAGCAAGUGGUGAACCAUUUGUUUGCCGGUACUUGAUGAAUAAGCCCCGGCUAAUUAUGUGCCAGCAGCCGCGGUAAGACAUAAGGGGCAAGUGUUAUCCGGAAUUAUUGGGCGUAAAGGGUGCGUAGGCGGUCUAGUAAGUCAGUGGUGUAAUGGCAACGCUCAACGUUGUCCGGCUAUUGAAACUGCUAAACUUGAGUUAGAUAGAGGCGAGUGGAAUUCCAUGUGUAGCGGUAAAAUGCGUAAAUAUAUGGAGGAACACCAGAGGCGUAGGCGGCUCGCUGGGUCUUAACUGACGCUGAGGCACGAAAGCGUGGGGAGCAAACAGGAUUAGAUACCCUGGUAGUCCACGCCGUAAACGAUGAGUACUAAGUGUCGGGUUAAACCGGUACUGAAGUUAACACAUUAAGUACUCCGCCUGAGUAGUACGUACGCAAGUAUGAAACUUAAAGGAAUUGACGGGACUCCGCACAAGCGGUGGAUCAUGUUGUUUAAUUCGAAGAUACCCGAAAAACCUUACCAGGUCUUGACAUGUUUUUGCGAAACGGUAGUAAUAUCGUGGAGGUUAUCAGAAACACAGGUGGUGCAUGGUUGUCGUCAGCUCGUGUCGUGAGAUGUUAGGUUAAGUCCUAAAACGAGCGAAACCCUUAUCGUUAGUUGCCAGCACGUUAUGGUGGGGACUUUAACGAGACUGCCAGUGAUAAAUUGGAGGAAGGUGAGGAUCACGUCAAAUCAGCAUGCCCCUUAUGACCUGGGCUACAAACGUGAUACAAUGGCUGUUACAAAGGGUAGCUGAAACGCAAGUUCUUGGCCAAUCCCCAAAAACAGUCUCAGUCCGGAUUGAAGUCUGCAACUCGACUUCAUGAAGUUGGAAUCGCUAGUAAUCGCGAAUCUGACAUGCGUGUGAAUUCUGGCAUU
Molecule: ribosomal RNA, 1232 nt
Filed under: Candidatus Phytoplasma citri
Lineage: Bacteria; Bacillati; Mycoplasmatota; Mollicutes; Acholeplasmatales; Acholeplasmataceae
Description: bacterial SSU rRNA
Rfam family: Bacterial small subunit ribosomal RNA
Source: RNAcentral